Molecule: ribosomal RNA, 424 nt
Filed under: uncultured cyanobacterium
Lineage: Bacteria; Bacillati; Cyanobacteriota
Description: bacterial SSU rRNA
Rfam family: Bacterial small subunit ribosomal RNA
Source: RNAcentral
GGGGAAUUUUCCGCAAUGGGCGAAAGCCUGACGGAGCAAUACCGCGUGAGGGAGGAAGGCUCUUGGGUUGUAAACCUCUUUUCUCAAGGAAGAAGUUCUGACGGUACUUGAGGAAUCAGCAUCGGCUAACUCCGUGCCAGCAGCCGCGGUAAUACGGAGGAUGCAAGCGUUAUCCGGAAUGAUUGGGCGUAAAGCGUCCGCAGGUGGUGGUGUGUGUCUAUUGUCAAAGCAUCAUGCUUAACAUGAUAAAGGCAGUAAAAACUGGGCGACUAGAGUGCGGUAGGGGUCAGGGGAAUUCCCAGUGUAGCGGUGAAAUGCGUAGAUAUUGGGAAGAACACCGGUGGUGAAAGCGCCUGACUGGACCUGCACUGACACUGAGGGACGAAAGCUAGGGGAGCGAAAGGGAUUAGAUACCCCAGUAGUC